RNAcentral lists this ribosomal RNA (190 nucleotides) under uncultured bacterium. RNAcentral describes it as "partial 16S ribosomal RNA". The record is from RNAcentral.
AUUACCGCGGCUGCUGGCACGGAGUUAGCCGGUGCUUAUUCUUCAGGUACCUUCAGCCCCGGAGUAAAUCCAGGGGUUUAUUCCCUGACUAAAGCAGUUUACAACCCAUAGGGCCGUCUUCCUGCACGCUGGAUGGCUGGUUCAGGCUUGCGCCCAUUGACCAAUAUUCCUUACUGCUGCCUCCCGUAGG